UCCCGUCACGAUAGAUCCUAGGCAUUAAUAGAUGAAGAAGGACGCAGCAAACGGCGAAACGCGUUGGGGAGUGGUAAGCACACGAUGAUCCAGCGAUAUCCGAAUGGGGAAACCCGGCACCCGUAAUGGGGUGUCACCCAUGGAUGAAUCCAUAGUCCAUGAGGGAGCAACCUUGCGAAUUGAAACAUCUUAGUAGCAAGAGGAAGAGAAAAUAACAAUGAUUCCCUUAGUAGCGGCGAGCGAAGCGGGAAGAGCCCAAACCGACAAUAGUCGGGGUAGUAGGACCACGAUGUAGUAGACUCAGCGUUAACCUAACGACUUGGAAAAGUCGGCCAAAGAAGGUGAAAGCCCUGUUGGUGAAAACAAAGAGCGCUUAGUGGAAUCCUGAGUACGGCGAGGCACGAGAAACCUUGUCGGAAUCAACCGGGACCACCCGGUAAGGCUAAAUACUCAUUAAUGACCGAUAGUGAACCAGUACCGUGAGGGAAAGGUGAAAAGAACCGCGGGAGCGGAGUGAAAUAGAACCUGAAACCGUAUGCUUACAAUAAGUCAGAGCCCGUUAAUGGGUGAUGGCGUGCCUUUUGUAGAAUGAACCGGCGAGUUACCAUGUCGUGCGAGGUUAAGUUGAAGAGACGGAGCCGAAGCGAAAGCGAGUCUGAAUAGGGCUAAAGUACGAUGCGGUAGACCCGAAACCAGGUGAUCUAGCCAUGAUCAGGUUGAAGUUUGGGUGAAACCAAAUGGAGGACCGAACCGACCCCCGUUGAAAAGGUGGCGGAUGAAUUGUGGCUAGGGGAGAAAUUCCAAUCGAACCUGGAUAUAGCUGGUUCUCCCCGAAAUAGCUUUAGGGCUAGCGUUGAGGAAGAGCGCUGUGGAGGUAGAGCACUGAAUGUAAGAUGGCCCCGUCUAGGGGUACUGAUUACAAUCAAACUCCGAAUGCCAUAGUUGUAUACUCAGCAGUCAGACUACGGGUGAUAAGGUCCGUGGUCGAAAGGGAAACAGCCCAGACCAUCAGUUAAGGUCCCAAAAUUCAUGCUAAGUGGAAAAGGAUGUGGGGAUGCACAGACAACUAGGAGGUUGGCUUAGAAGCAGCCACCCUUGAAAGAGUGCGUAACAGCUCACUAGUCGAGUGACCCUGCGCCGAAAAUUUACCGGGGCUAAGCAUGAUACCGAAACUAUGGAUUUUAGAGAAAUCUAAAGUGGUAGGGGAGCGUUCUAUACGCGUCGAAGGUAUACCGUAAGGAGUGCUGGAGUGUAUAGAAGUGAGAAUGCCGGUGUGAGUAGCGAAAUGACAGUGAGAAUCUGUCACACCGAUUGACCAAGGUUUCCAGGGGAAGGUUCGUCCGCCCUGGGUAAGUCGGGACCUAAGAUGAGGCUGACAAGCGUAGUCGAUGGACAACAGGUUGAUAUUCCUGUACCCGCAUGCAAGUGAAGGAGUGACAAAGAAGGAUACAACAAGCCCACGGAUGGAAGAGUGGGUCAAAGCGAGGUAGCAGAACGAUAGGCAAAUCCGUCGUUCAAUGCAAAGGCGUGAUUGGGAGUGAACGGGUGACCUAGUAGCGAAGUGUUGGAUUCCAGCUUUCAAGAAAAGCUUCUAGCGAUAAUUGCAUCGCGGCCCGUACCAAAACCGACACAGGUGGUCAAGGAGAGAAUCCUGAGGUGAGCGAGAGAACUGUUGCCAAGGAACUCGGCAAAAUGACUCCGUAAGUUAGCGAGAAGGAGUGCUCUUUAAAAGAGAGCCGCAGUGAAGAGGCCCAAGCGACUGUUUAACUAAAACAUAGCUCUCUGCGAAGUCGCAAGACGAAGUAUAGGGGGUGACGCCUGCCCGGUGCUGGAAGGUUAAGAGGAGGGGUUAGCCGCAAGGCGAAGCUUUGAAUUGAAGCCCCAGUGAACGGCGGCCGUAACUAUAACGGUCCUAAGGUAGCGAAAUUCCUUGUCGGGUAAGUUCCGACCCGCACGAAAGGCGUAACGAUUUGGGCGCUGUCUCGGCAGCAGACUCGGUGAAAUCUUAGUACCUGUGAAGAUGCAGGUUACCCGCAACUAGACGGAAAGACCCCAUGGAGCUUUACUGUAGCUUGAUAUUGAAUUUUGAGCCAGCAUGUACAGGAUAGGUGGGAGACGAAGAUAUGGGCACGCCAGUGUCCAAGGAGUCACCCUUGGGAUACCACCCUUGCUUGUUUGGAAUUCUAACUGACACCCAUAAUCUGGGUGCAGGACCGUGUCAGGUGGGCAGUUUGACUGGGGCGGUCGCCUCCUAAAGAGUAACGGAGGCGCUCAAAGGUACCCUCAGAUUGGUUGGAAAUCAAUCGUCGAGUGCAAAGGCAUAAGGGUGCUUGACUGCGAGACUUACAAGUCGAGCAGGAACGAAAGUUGGACUUAGUGAUCCGGCGGUUUCCGAGUGGAAGGGCCGUCGCUUAACGGAUAAAAGCUACCCUGGGGAUAACAGGCUAAUCUCGCCCAAGAGUUCACAUCGACGGCGAGGUUUGGCACCUCGAUGUCGGCUCAUCGCAUCCUGGAGCUGAAUUCGGUUCCAAGGGUUGGGCUGUCCGCCCAUUAAAGCGGUACGCGAGCUGGGUUCAGAACGUCGUGAGACAGUUCGGUCCCUAUCUGUUGUGGGCGUAGGAAAUUUGAGGAGUGCUGACCUUAGUACGAGAGGACCGGGUUGGACAUACCGCUGGUGCACCAGUUGUUUCGCCAGAAGCAUAGCUGGGUAGCUAAGUAUGGAUCAGAUAAGCGCUGAAAGCAUCUAAGUGCGAAACUGACUCCAAGAUGAGAUUUCCCAUACGUAAGUAGUAAGACCCCUGAAAGACGAUCAGGUUGAUAGGUCAGAGAUGGAAGCAUGGUGACAUGUGCAGUUGACUGAUACUAAUAGGUCGAGGUUUUAAUC
Molecule: ribosomal RNA, 2884 nt
Filed under: freshwater metagenome
Description: bacterial LSU rRNA
Rfam family: Bacterial large subunit ribosomal RNA
Source: RNAcentral